UACGGGGGGGGCAAGCGUUGUUCGGAAUUACUGGGCGUAAAGGGCUCGUAGGUGGCCAACUAAGUCAGACGUGAAAUCCCUCGGCUUAACCGGGGAACUGCGUCUGAUACUGGAUGGCUUGAGUUUGGGAGAGGGACGCGGAAUUCCAGGUGUAGCGGUGAAAUGCGUAGAUAUCUGGAGGAACACCGGUGGCGAAGGCGGCGUCCUGGACCAACACUGACACUGAGGCACGAAGGUCAGGGGAGCAAACGGG
Molecule: ribosomal RNA, 253 nt
Filed under: uncultured bacterium
Lineage: Bacteria
Description: partial 16S ribosomal RNA
Rfam family: Bacterial small subunit ribosomal RNA
Source: RNAcentral